RNAcentral lists this long non-coding RNA (1018 nucleotides) under Apteryx rowi (Okarito brown kiwi). RNAcentral describes it as "lncRNA (ENSARWG00000011859.1)". Lineage: Eukaryota; Metazoa; Chordata; Aves; Apterygiformes; Apterygidae. The record is from RNAcentral.
CCUUCAUAUCACCCUGGAUAUCUGCUGGAAAGACAACACAGCUAGGCACAAACAGUCCCGGAGGUUCCUGCAGAGCAUUGGUGACAACUUCUUGACACAGGUGGUGGAGGAGCCAACAAGGAGAGGUGUGCUGCUGGACCUCGUACUAACAAACAAAGAAGGACUGGUUGAAGAUGUGAAGGUCGAGGGCAGCCUUGGCUGCAGUGACCAUGAGAUGGUGGAGUUGAGGAUCCUGCGAGGAGGAGGCAGCAGGGCACUAAGUAGGAUGGCAACCCUGGAGUUCAGGAGAGCAAACUUUGGCCUCUUCAGGGACCUACUUGGAGGAAUCCCAUGGGUUAGGGCCCUGGAAGGAAGGGGUGUUCAAGAGAGCUGGUUAAUAUUCAAACAUCACUUCCUCCAGGCUCAAGAGCAGUGCAUCCCUAUGAGUAGGAAGUCAAGCAAAGGAGGCAGGAGACCUGCAUGGAUGAGCAAGGAGCUCCUGGCCAAACUCAACCAGAAGAAGGAAGUAUACAGAAAGUGGAAAGGGGGACAGGCCACUUGGGAGGAAUAUAGGAACAUUGUCAGAGUAUGCAGGGAUGUGACGAGGAAGGCUAAGGCCCAUUUGGAAUUAAAUCUGGCGAGAGUUGUCAAGGACAGCAAGAAGGGCUUCUUCAAAUACAUCAGUAGCAAGAGGAAGACUAGGGAAAAUGUGGGCCCGUUGCUGAAUGGGGUGGGUGCCCUGGUGACAAAGGAUGCAGAGAAGGCAGAGUUACUGAAUGCCUUCUUUGCUUCAGUCUUUACUGCUCAGGCCAGCCCUCAGGAACCCCAGACCCUGGAGGCAAGAAAGAAAGUCUGGAGAAAGGAAGACUUUCCCUUGGUCGAGGAGGAUCGGGUUAGAGAUCAUUUAAGCAAACUUGACAUCCACAAAUCCAUGGGCCCUGAUGGGAUGCACCCACAAGUGCUGAGGGAGCUGGCGGACAUUAUUGCUAAGCCACUCUCCAUCAUCUUUGAAAGGUCAUGGAGAACAGGAGAGGUGUCU